RNAcentral lists this ribosomal RNA (1471 nucleotides) under Nanobdellati archaeon. RNAcentral describes it as "bacterial SSU rRNA". It matches the Rfam family "Archaeal small subunit ribosomal RNA". Lineage: Archaea; Nanobdellati. The record is from RNAcentral.
AUUCCCGUUGAUUCUGCGGGAGAUUGCUGCUAUUGAGAUUCGACUUAACCAUGCAAGUUUGGGGUUUCUUCGGAAACACCGGCGUAUCGCUCAGUAACACGUCGAUAACCUACCCUUAGAUUAAGGAUAACCUUGGGAAACUGAGACUAAACCUUGAUAGGGGAUUUCUACUGGAAUGUAGUUUCCUUUAAACGUGAGGUCUAAGGAUGGGUCGGCGCCUGAUUAGGCAGUUGGCGAGGUAAAGGCUCACCAAACCUAUAAUCAGUAGGGGUCUUGAGAGAGAUAGCCCCGAGAAGGACACUGAGAAACUGGUCCUAGCCCUAAGGGGUGCAGCAGGUGCGAAAACUUUACAAUGCACGAAAGUGUGAUAAGGGAAUCUCAAGUGCUUUACUUUUUGGUAAAGCUUUUGUUAAGUGUAAAUAGCUUAACGAAUAAGUGGUGGGCAAGACCGGUGCCAGCCGCCGCGGUAACACCGGCGCCACGAGUGGUGAUCACGUUUAUUGGGUCUAAAGGGUCCGUAGCCGGUUUGGUAAAUUCCUUGUAAAAUUGUUAGGCUUAACUUAACAACUUGCAAAGAACACUACCUUACUAGGAACUGGGAGAAGGCAGAAGUAUUUUGGGGGGAGUGGUAAAAUAUUAUAAUCCUCAAAGGACUACCUGUGGCGAAGGCAUCUGUCUAGAACAGGUUCGACGGUGAUGGACGAAAGCUAGGGGAGCGAUCCGGAUUAGAUACCCGAGUAGUCCUAGCUGUAAACGCUGUGAGCUAUGUGUUGCAUGUUCUUAGAGGACGUGCAGUGCCGAAGCGAAGGUGUUAAGCUCACCACCUGGGAAGUACGGUCGCAAGACUGAAACUUAAAGAAAUUGGCGGGGGCUUACUACAAGGGGUGCGGCGUGCGGUUUAAUUGAACUCUACGCCGGAAAUCUCACCAGGAGCGACGGCAGAAUGAAGGUCAGAUUGAAGGUUUUACCUAACGAGCCGAGAGGUGCUGCAUGGCCGCCGUCAGUUCGUGCCGUGAGGUGUCCUGUUAAGUCAGGCAACGAACAAGAUCUAUAUCUACAGUUGCCAUCGUCUCAUUUGAGGAACGAGCACACUGUAGAGACUGCCUUGGAAACAAGGAGGAAGGUUUAGGCCACGGUAGGUCUGUAUGGCCCGAAUCUCCUGGGCUACACGCGCGCAACAAUGGUAAGGACAAUGGGAUACAACUCCGAAAGGAGAAGUUAAACCUCAAAACCUUAUCUUAGUUUAGAUUGAGGACUGUAACUCGUCCUCAUGACAACGGAAUCCCUAGUAAUCAGAAUUCAACACGUUCUGGUGAAUACGUCCCUUGGCCUUGCACACACCGCCCGUCAAACCAACCGAGCAGGGCUUAGGUGAGGAAUAUUCCUAAGAAUAUUUCGAACCUAUGUUCAGUAAGGUGGGUUAAGUCGUCACAAGGUAGCCGUAGGGGAACCUGCGGCUGGAUCACCUCCU